This 274-nucleotide ribosomal RNA is filed under the name uncultured bacterium. RNAcentral describes it as "partial 16S ribosomal RNA". It matches the Rfam family "Bacterial small subunit ribosomal RNA", at positions 523 to 796 of the family's 1533-position model. The record is from RNAcentral.
ACACGGAGGGCGCAAGCGUUGUUCGGAAUCACUGGGCGUAAAGCGGGUGUAGGCGGUCUAGCAAGUCAGAUGUGAAAGCCCACGGCUCAACCGUGGAAGUGCAUCUGAAACUGCUAGACUUGAGUGCCGGAGAGGGAAGUGGAAUUCCUGGUGUAGGGGUGAAAUCCGUAGAUAUCAGGAGGAACACCGGUGGCGAAGGCGACUUCCUGGACGGCCACUGACGCUGAGACCCGAAAGCGUGGGGAGCAAACAGGAUUAGAAACCCUAGUAGUCC